AACCUAGCACACCUGCGGUGUGUACCUGCGGAGGGAUCAUUACAAGUGACCCCGGUCUAACCACCGGGAUGUUCAUAACCCUUUGUUGUCCGACUCUGUUGCCUCCGGGGCGACCCUGCCUUCGGGCGGGGGCUCCGGGUGGACACUUCAAACUCUUGCGUAACUUUGCAGUCUGAGUAAACUUAAUUAAUAAAUUAAAACUUUCAGCAAUGGAUCU
Molecule: unclassified non-coding RNA, 217 nt
Filed under: soil metagenome
Description: partial contains 5.8S ribosomal RNA, internal transcribed spacer 2, and large subunit ribosomal RNA
Source: RNAcentral